CCGCACGCGCGCUACACUGACAGAGCCAACGAGUUCUCUCCCUUGACCGAAAGGUCUGGGUAAUCUUGUUAAACUCUGUCGUGCUGGGGAUAGAGCAUUGCAAUUAUUGCUCUUCAACGAGGAAUGCCUAGUAAGCGCGUGUCAUCAGCAUGCGUUGAUUACGU
RNAcentral lists this ribosomal RNA (164 nucleotides) under uncultured eukaryote. Its description in RNAcentral is "partial 18S rRNA". It matches the Rfam family "Eukaryotic small subunit ribosomal RNA", at positions 1487 to 1650 of the family's 1831-position model. The record is from RNAcentral.